This is a long non-coding RNA of Taeniopygia guttata (zebra finch), 2026 nucleotides long. Lineage: Eukaryota; Metazoa; Chordata; Aves; Passeriformes; Estrildidae. The record is from Ensembl.
AUGAUCACCUCGACAAGGUGCUGGGACGGGUGCAGGUGCCUGUGCCAGUGUUGGUGUCGCGGUUGGCGUCGGUGCAGGUAUCGCUGUCGGCCCCGGUCCCAUUGCUGGUGCCGGUGCCGGUCCCAUUGCCGGUCCCAUUGCCGGUGCCGGUCCCAUUGCCGGUCCCAUUGCUGGUGCCGGUCCCAUUGCCAGUGUCGGUGCCGGUCCCAUUGCCGGUGUCGGUGCCGGUCCCAUUGCCGGUGUCGGUGCCGGUCCCAUUGCCGGUGUCGGUGCCGGUCCCAUUGCCGGUCCCUGUCCCAUUGCCGGUCCCAUUGCCGGUCCCGGUCCCAUUGCCGGUCCCAUUGCCGGUGUCGGUCCCAUUGCCGGUCCCAUUGCCGGUCCCAUUGCCGGUCCCAUUGCCGGUCCCAUUGCCGGUGCCGGUGCCGGCAGCGCCCCGGGGUCCCGGGCCGAGCGGGGCGAGGCGGCCCCGGCGGGCGGAGCGGCAGCGCCCCCUGCUGGCCCCGCCCGGCCCCGCCCGCGGCGGUUCGUGCCCGGCCGCAGCCCCGGCUCCUCUGCCCGUGGGCCCAGCGCGCAGUAAUACACGGCCGCGUCCCCGCGCCGGGGCCCACCGAGCCGCAGCGCGCUCCAGCGCCGGUCUGCCGACACCCACAGCUGGCCCAGAUUGUCCGGCAGCUCUUUGGAAUCUCUCACUGUGAGUGCGAGGAAUUCAGGUCCUUGGCCAGGGAGCUGACGGUACCAGUGGAUGUAAUCGCCAGUCUGGAUUUUGGGAUGUGAGCAGGUGAUGUUGAUGCUGGUGCCCUCGGUGGUCUCCAGUGACGGCUCCUGCUGCACCUGAGCUCUGGCCACAGUCCCUGCCAGGAAAAAGAAGAAUCAGUUUUGUUUUACAGAAAAUGCCUUGCAGGGGGGGAUGGGAGAGGACAGAUCAGAGCUAAAUGGGAUAUGUCCUGGUAAUAAAGUAUGGAGAGCUAAUUGCACUGAGAGUGUUUGUCUGAGGACAAGAAUCUGUGAGGGGUGUUUUGAAGAAAAAUCAGACCGAAGUUACAAAAACAGACCAGGUGGGAAGGAGGGAGACAUGGAGUAAAAAAGGAAAAAGGGGACUCAAAACCUUCAUGGAGGGAAGAAAGUAUCACGACGGAGGAGAGAACAGAGGGUAAAUAAGAACCGAAAAGGAACAUGAGGAUAAGAGAAGAAUCUUGGGCUAGGCGGUAUCACGUAGUCCCCUGACCCAGAAAACCCCGGCCGCCAACGCAACGCACCGAGCAGCACCGCGGCCAGCGCCGCCAGCCCCGCGCCCCGACACCGCCGCAUGCCGCCGCUCCGCCGGCCUAACAUCGUUGUCCUGUCCUGUCCUGUCCUGUCCUGUCCUGUCCUGUCCUGUCCUCUCCUCUCCUCUCCUCUCCUCUCCUCCCCUCCCCUCCUCUCCCCUCCCCAACGCCGCCAGCUCCGCCCCGGCCCGAAUCAGCCCCCGCCUCUCCCCGCACCAGCACCUUCAGCAGCGACACCAGGACGUUUGGCACGGCCAGCGACAAGAGACAGCUGUGUCCCAUCGCACACAGCAGCCACACCGCGUGGGAAGCAGAUCCACCCUGCAGCCAUCUGCAGCGGGCAGUGCCGGCCCCGCUCGGCUGCGCUCAGGCUCUGUGGGAGCCUGGGAAGCUGCUGCUCUGUGCUCUGCAGGGCCACAGCGGUGCUCGGGGCCUGGCAGAGGCAGAAAAUUCCCUCCCGGUGAGGGACACACACGGACACAGCCAGGGCCGAGCUCAGCACGGUGGAGCCACAGACAAAUCCGUGCUUGCCGUGUGUCCGUGCAAACGGGGCUGCUCCGAGAGCUCACAAGGCAGGAACACACAACCAGCCCUGGGCUCUGCUGAGGACAUGUGGGGCCAAAAGCAGCAGGGCUGGAGUGUGGAAGGAUAAGAUUCCAGGAAAACACAGGGGAUACUUUUUUUUAUUAGGGACUGCCCAAUGUGGAAAUGAGUCAAAAUAGUCCAAAAAAAUGUCCACUAGGGACAUUUUGUGUAUGGAC